Chinchilla lanigera (long-tailed chinchilla) is the source of this 1097-nucleotide long non-coding RNA. RefSeq lists it as uncharacterized. The transcript has 3 exons. The record is from RefSeq and is a predicted model, not a curated record. NCBI's taxonomy places the organism in Eukaryota, Metazoa, Chordata, Mammalia, Rodentia, Chinchillidae.
UGCCCCAAGGCCCUGAGGACACAGAUCUGAAGGUGCCAGAGGACUGCUAGUGUCAGGGAACCUGCGUCCACUGCCUUCUAGGGCAUGGGCACCCACUGGCAGCAUCACAACAGCAACUCAGGUGGCAAGGUGCUGACCCACCUAUCCAUUAUGGAGUCAGGGUAGAAGGUGGGAGACAGAGGGUGUCUGUCCUAGGGAUGAUUAAGUCAGGAGGUGUCUCAUUCCUUCCUUGAGGAGUUUCAUAGCCACCCACUGAAGCCCUCAGCAAUCUGGGGAUCCAGAAGACGGAAGAGCAUCCCUGCCCCUCGUCCCUGCGUGAGAAGAGGUCUCACUGAGUCGCUAAAUUACCUACAGUAGGCUUGAAUUGAGGUCUCCUGCCUCAGCUUCCUAGAGUGCUGGGAUUACAGUGUGUGUCAGCAUGCCCAGUCCCGUCACUCUUUUUCGCAUCCUGACCAUGAGGUGAGCUGUUUUUUUCCUCGUGUUAUCCUUGCCAGGAGCAACUGACCAUGGACUGAAACCCCUAAAACCAUGAGCCAAAAUAGCCUUCCAUCUUUAUAGGGUGACUGCUUUGGGUAUUUUGUUAUAGUAACAGAAAGCUAGCUAACACAGUUUCCAGUGCCUCUGAGGGACCAGGAAUUCACAGAGGAUUCACAGAGGUCAGAGUUUCAAAGAUGCUGCAUGGAAGCUGCCUGGAGACACAAUAACCAUUUUAUGGAAAGGGUAGUGAGAAGAACAAAGCCCUAAUCUCUCAGAAGGGUCCUCCUUGUUCUAAACUUACAGCCUGAUUUUGCAGAGCCUGGAACCCUCCAGUGCACCAAGAGCUGGGGUGAGACCUUGCCCAUCUUGUCUCUGACUUUUCCUCUUCGCAUUGGCAAAAUAAGCUACCAGGGGCUCUGAGAACAUGUUCUUUCAGAGGUGAAAAUUACACACUUGUAGCAGCCAAAACAGCUAUUUGCAAUAAUAACUAUCCUAGCACAGGUUGGAGGAGCCUAGUAAAUGUUGCCCUUGUUUGAAAUCCUCCCCCGAUCCCCACCCAGCCGCCUUCCUAGUGCCCAGCAGGUUGGAAGGGGAGUGACUAUUUUCUGUUUGUUUGUGUU